RNAcentral lists this ribosomal RNA (729 nucleotides) under uncultured bacterium. RNAcentral's name for it is "bacterial SSU rRNA". It matches the Rfam family "Bacterial small subunit ribosomal RNA", at positions 63 to 775 of the family's 1533-position model. The record is from RNAcentral.
UGAACGCGGUUAGYAGCAAUWCUGAACYGAGUGGCGAACGGGUGAGUAACACGUGGGUGACCUACCUUCGAGUGGGGGAUAACGUCCCGAAAGGGACGCUAAUACCGCAUAACAUCCUGCCUUUGAACAGGCGGAGAUCAAAGCCGGGGAUCGCAAGACCYGGCGCUUGAUGAGGGGCCCGCGUCCGAUUAGCUAGUUGGUGAGGUAAYGGCUCACCAAGGCAACGAUCGGUAKCCGGCCUGAGAGGGCGGACGGMCACACUGGGACUGAGACACGGCCCAGACUCCUACGGGAGGCAGCAGUGGGGAAUUGUUCACAAUGGGCGCAAGCCUGAYGACGCAACGCCGCGUGGAGGAUGAAGGUCUUCGGAUUGUAAACUCCUGUUGCCCGGGACGAAAAGCUCCGACCUAAUACGUCGGAGUCUGACGGUACCGGGUGAGGAAGCCCCGGCUAACUCUGUGCCAGCAGCCGCGGUAAUACAGAGGGGGCAAGCGUUGUUCGGAAUUACUGGGCGUAAAGGGCGCGUAGGCGGCCUGCUAAGUCGAACGUGAAAUCCCCGGGCUCAACCCGGGAACUGCGUCCGAUACUGGCRGGCUUGAAUYCGGGAGAGGGAUGUGGAAUUCCAGGUGUAGCGGUGAAAUGCGUAGAUAUCUGGAGGAACACCGGUGGCGAAGGCGGCAUCCUGGACCGGYAUUGACGCUGAGGCGCGAAAGCUAGGGGARCAAACGG